GUUUUACACAGUAAUAAUAUAUAUCUGCCUCACUCUCAGAGAAAUCAGUAGUACUGCUAGGUUUUACACAGUAAUAAUAUAUAUCUGCCUCACUCUCAGAGGAAUCAGUAGUACUGCUAGGUUUUACACAGUAAUAAUAUAUAUCUGCCUCACUCUCAGAGAAAUCAGUAGUACUGCUAGGUUUUACACAGUAAUAAUAUAUAUCUGCCUCACUCUCAGAGAAAUCAGUAGUACUGCUAGGUUUUACACAGUAAUAAUAUAUAUCUGCCUCACUCUCAGUGAAAUCAGUAGUACUGCUAGGUUUUACACAGUAAUAAUAUAUAUCUGCUAGGUUUUACACAGUAAUAAUAUAUAUCUGCUAGGUUUUACACAGUAAUAAUAUAUAUCUGUCUCACUCUCAGAGGAAUCAGUAGUACUGCUAGGUUUUACACAGUAAUAAUAUAUAUCUGUCUCACUCUCAGAGGAAUCAGUAGUACUGCUAGGUUUUACACAGUAAUAAUAUAUAUCUGCCUCACUCUCAGAGGAAUCAGUAGUACUGCUAGGUUUUACA
Long non-coding RNA from Oncorhynchus tshawytscha (Chinook salmon), 550 nucleotides. The record is from Ensembl. NCBI's taxonomy places the organism in Eukaryota, Metazoa, Chordata, Actinopteri, Salmoniformes, Salmonidae.